This 1476-nucleotide long non-coding RNA is filed under the name Carassius auratus (goldfish). Its description in RNAcentral is "lncRNA (ENSCARG00000017666.1)". The record is from RNAcentral. Lineage: Eukaryota; Metazoa; Chordata; Actinopteri; Cypriniformes; Cyprinidae.
AUGGCUUCCACUAGCAAGGCGUUUAGACAGUGCGUGCAUCCGUGUCAGCGUUAUUUGACACCGGAUGACACACACAGUCUUUGCGUUUUUUGUUUGGGCGAAGAGCACGCGCGCGAUGUCCUUGAGGGGGCGAUCUGCGUGCACUGUGAGCGUUUUUCCAUGAAAAAGCUCCGCUCUCGUUUGUCUCUCUUUUCAAGGAAAGAGGGACAGCCAUCUGUCUCCCGCGGCUCAGGACCCGCCGCUGUUGAGGCACGGAGGAGAAUGAGCUCGUGGGGAUCACAGGUGGACCUCGUUGAAGAGUUUAGAGAGGGACUUUCCCUUUCUCGCUCUUCGGAGGCGGACGAGAAUGAACUUCAGGAGGAAGACGUGUUAUCAUUAACCCUUUCUGAUACUGAAGUUAGUGCUCUGCUGGGUUCUACCCAAGAAGAGCAGGAGAUGUCUGAGGUUGGCGAAGAAGCUGAGGCUGAGCCUUCUCAAUCCUCCUGCCCUGCGUAUGAGGAGCUGUUAGAGGUUAUGGAUCGUGCCACAGCAAAGUUAAACUUGCCAUGGAAACGUACAAGCAAAAUAACGCCGCAAGGUCACCUUGAUGAGCGUUAUUUAUCUGACCAUAGCCCUCCAGCCCAGGUGAGCCUUCCAUUCUUGCCUGAUUUACAUGCGGAAAUCAAGAAAGAAUGGAGGAGGCCAUUUUCUUCUCGCAUCCAUCGGUUUCAGCAUACAAGUUAUGCUAACAUCGAGGGCAUGCGCGAAAAUGGCUAUGAGAAGAUGCCCCCUGUAGAAGAGACGCUGGCUAGCUAUCUCUCUGUGGGGGAAACAUCCUCUCUUAAAUCUCCCUCUUUGCCAUCUAAGCCCCUCCAGGAUACAUCCCGCUUAAAUGGCAAAGCAUACGCAGCAGCGGGUCAGGCUGUGGCUUCAUUGCACACUAUGGCGGUGCUUCAGGCCUAUCAGGCUGACCUGCUGAGGGACCUGGAUAAAGGCGAGGGCCUUUCAGCUGAUCAGGUGGCCGAGCUGCGCCGCACCACAGACCUCUCUCUCCGUGCUACCAAGCAGGCCGCCUCCGCCAUGGGUAGGUCUAUGGCUGCCAUGGUAGUAACGGAGAGACAUCUGUGGGUGAACCUGGCAGACAUCGGGAAGAAAGAAAGGGGCUUUCUUCUCGAUGCUCCGGUCUCGCCUUCUGAGCUUUUCGGUACCUCCGUCGAGAUGGUGGUCGAAAAGUUCAGGGAGGCAAGGGCGCGCUCAGCUGCUUUUAAAACCUUCAUUCCACGAAGGUCCAGGUCCGAGCCCGAACAACAUAGGGGUCCUGGCCCGUCUCGUUCUGAGGAUCAAAGACGGGCGCAGAAGGCUAGUGUCGCGACUCGCGCUCCUCCCCCGCCUAUGGGCAGGGGCAAGAGGAAUCGUGGGUCGCGAGGAGGUAAGCAGGACCUGAGGGAUGUGAUUCAGACGAGGCAGCGUUCUCGUCCGAAUCAGAGCGAUACCUAG